AGCUUUGUGCAGUGGUAAUAUCAUAGCCAAUGAAGGUUUACUGAGGUGUGUUUAUUGCUAUUUGAAAACUUUACCCAAUACCCCGUUAAGUCUGUUUAAUGACAGACUUGGCAAUUUUUUACCAUCUCUGAGUAGA
Small nuclear RNA from Protopterus annectens (West African lungfish), 136 nucleotides. RefSeq annotates it as U4 spliceosomal RNA. The record is from RefSeq and is a predicted model, not a curated record. Lineage: Eukaryota; Metazoa; Chordata; Ceratodontiformes; Protopteridae. The transcript has a single exon.